AGAGUUUGAUCCUGGCUCAGAACGAACGCUGGCGGCGUGCUUAACACAUGCAAGUCGAACGAGAAAGUUCCCUUCGGGGGAUGAGUAGAGUGGCAGACGGGUGAGUAACACGUGGGCAACCUGCCCGGAGGUGGGGGAUAACCCUUCGAAAGGAGGGCUAAUACCGCAUGACAUCUCGAGCACUUAGGGGUUCGAGAUCAAAGCCAGCCUCUGCUUGCAAGCUGGUGCCACCGGAGGGGCCCGCGCCCCAUUAGCUUGUUGGUGAGGUAACGGCUCACCAAGGCCGCGAUGGGUAGCCGGCCUGAGAGGGUGAUCGGCCACACUGGAACUGAGACACGGUCCAGACUCCUACGGGAGGCAGCAGUGAGGAAUUUUGCGCAAUGGGCGAAAGCCUGACGCAGCGACGCCGCGUGGAGGACGAAGGCCUUCGGGUCGUAAACUCCUGUCAAGCGGGACGAAUCCUGCGGGGAUGAAUAAGCCCCGCAAUUGACGGUACCGCUGGAGGAAGCCCCGGCUAACUCCGUGCCAGCAGCCGCGGUAACACGGGGGGAGCGAGCGUUGUUCGGAAUCACUGGGCGUAAAGGGCGUGUAGGCGGUUCGGUAAGUGAGAUGUGAAAGCCCCCGGCUCACCCGGGGAUGUGCAUUUCAUACUGCUGGACUUGAGUACGGAAGAGGAUGGGGGAAUUCCUGGUGUAGCGGUGAAAUGCGUAGAUAUCAGGAGGAACACCGGUGGCGAAGGCGCCCAUCUGGUCCGUUACUGACGCUGAUGCGCGAAAGCUAGGGGAGCGAACGGGAUUAGAUACCCCGGUAGUCCUAGCCGUAAACGGUGGGCACUAGGUGUUGGAGGCAUCGACCCUUCCAGUGCCGCAGCUAACGCAUUAAGUGCCCCGCCUGGGGAGUACGGUCGCAAGACUGAAACUCAAAGGAAUUGACGGGGGCCCGCACAAGCGGUGGAGCAUGUGGUUCAAUUCGACGCAACGCGAAGAACCUUACCCAGGCUUGACAUGCACUGGACCGGUGUGGAAACACACCUUCCCUUCGGGGCUAGUGCACAGGUGCUGCAUGGCUGUCGUCAGCUCGUGUCGUGAGAUGUUGGGUUAAGUCCCGCAACGAGCGCAACCCUUGCCCUUAGUUGCUAACGAGUUAAGUCGAGCACUCUAGGGGGACUGCCGGCGGUAAGCCGGAGGAAGGUGGGGACGACGUCAAGUCCUCAUGGCCCUUACGCCUGGGGCUACACACGUGCUACGAUGACCGACACAGAGGGCUGCGAUACCACGAGGUGGAGCUAAUCCCAAAAAGUCGGCCUCAGUUCGGAUUGCAGUCUGCAACUCGACUGCAUGAAGGUGGAAUCGCUAGUAAUCGCUGAUCAGCAGGCAGCGGUGAAUACGUUCCCGGGCCUUGUACACACCGCCCGCC
RNAcentral lists this ribosomal RNA (1416 nucleotides) under metagenome. Its description in RNAcentral is "bacterial SSU rRNA". It matches the Rfam family "Bacterial small subunit ribosomal RNA". The record is from RNAcentral.